Long non-coding RNA from Patella vulgata (common limpet), 528 nucleotides. RefSeq lists it as uncharacterized. The record is from RefSeq and is a predicted model, not a curated record. NCBI's taxonomy places the organism in Eukaryota, Metazoa, Mollusca, Gastropoda, Patellidae. The transcript is spliced from 4 exons.
GCGAAGAUGGGCAUAAAACCAUCCCGGGAAAUAAAAGAUUCAUUCAAUCAUUGGUGCUAUUUCCUAAUUAUUGGCCAUAUUUAUGCCACAGAUCAGGGUUGCAGGUACUUGAUGGCUACUUAGUGAUCACAAAUUACAGUCAGCACAGUUACAGAGCCUCCUGUUUUUUCCAUAAUAAGGUGCUGGAUUCUUCCUUCAGAGAACCAACAAGAUGACUAGUCAUCAACAUCCCGCGCCUUUGCACUUGUUUGGAAGAAAUAAGGAAAAAUAACUUCUUUAUGCUAUUGUUAAUGUAUACAUGUAGCUGUUUGUAUUGUUACAAAGUUUUGAGCCAAUCAAUGAAAGAAUAGUACAUUUGCAAAUACCCAAAUAACCUAGAACAGGAAUCAUAUAUCCUAUAAUUUAUGCAAUGUAUCAUUACGAUUGUACUGCAGACAUUUACGCUGGCAUGUAAAUGAUUUAGUACAAUCCUCACAUUUAUUCAUGUUUCUUCCUCUCUGUAGCAGUAAUAAAUGUACAUGUAUACAA